RNAcentral lists this ribosomal RNA (492 nucleotides) under uncultured bacterium. RNAcentral describes it as "partial 16S ribosomal RNA". It matches the Rfam family "Bacterial small subunit ribosomal RNA", at positions 29 to 507 of the family's 1533-position model. The record is from RNAcentral.
AGUGAACGCUGGCGGUAGGCCUAACACAUGCAAGUCGAACGGCAGCACAGUAAGAGCUUGCUCUUACGGGUGGCGAGUGGCGGACGGGUGAGGAAUACAUCGGAAUCUACUUUUUCGUGGGGGAUAACGUAGGGAAACUUACGCUAAUACCGCAUACGACCUACGGGUGAAAGCAGGGGAUCUUCGGACCUUGCGCGAUUGAAUGAGCCGAUGUCGGAUUAGCUAGUUGGCGGGGUAAAGGCCCACCAAGGCGACGAUCCGUAGCUGGUCUGAGAGGAUGAUCAGCCACACUGGAACUGAGACACGGUCCAGACCCCUACGGGAGGCAGCAGUGGGGAAUAUUGGACAAUGGGCGCAAGCCUGAUCCAGCCAUACCGCGUGGGUGAAGAAGGCCUUCGGGUUGUAAAGCCCUUUUGUUGGGAAAGAAAAGCGGCAGGUUAAUACCCCGCUGUUCUGACGGUACCCAAAGAAUAAGCACCGGCUAACUUCGUG